UGUAAAGUUGUUCUAGUUUUGUAACUAAAAUGGUUUGGCAGUGAGCGAUUCUUAUUAGGGGAAUAUGCAUAGUGAAGGAUGGUCCACCUAUUAGUUUACUCUUUUUAUGUUGGUGUAUGUCUGGUUUGAUAUUAUUGUUGAAUAAUUUAAGUUUGUGUAGUUUUAGUUAAGCUAAGUCUAUGUGCUGCUUAUUGGAGUUUUUGUGUGUUACAUUAAUAAGGGUGUUAUUGUAAGAUGAUGUGAUUUAGG
This 249-nucleotide ribosomal RNA is filed under the name Echinococcus granulosus. RNAcentral describes it as "partial 12S ribosomal RNA". The record is from RNAcentral. Lineage: Eukaryota; Metazoa; Platyhelminthes; Cestoda; Cyclophyllidea; Taeniidae.